Molecule: transfer RNA, 69 nt
Filed under: Acropoma japonicum
Lineage: Eukaryota; Metazoa; Chordata; Actinopteri; Acropomatiformes; Acropomatidae
Description: tRNA-Met
Rfam family: tRNA
About the family: Transfer RNA (tRNA) molecules are approximately 80 nucleotides in length.
Source: RNAcentral
AAUAAUGUCAGCUAAGCAAGCUCCCGGGCCCAUGCCCCGGCAAUGUUGGUUAAAUUCCUUCCAUUAUUA